RNAcentral lists this long non-coding RNA (1056 nucleotides) under Olea europaea subsp. europaea. The record is from RNAcentral. Lineage: Eukaryota; Viridiplantae; Streptophyta; Magnoliopsida; Lamiales; Oleaceae.
AUUUUUAACAGUAUUUUGACAUCAUUUCAAUCACACAUUUUUCAAUAAAAUAAUAUUACACACAAAUUUAAAAUUUUCUUUUCUUUUAACCACACGUUUCACAUCAAUAUACUAUUCAAAAAUUCAUUCUAUCCCCUAAAAUGGGGCUCAAACAAGGGCACAUAUCGGCAUUAAAAAGGAAGACUUACUGUUGAAGUCCACACAUACCCAUCGCCUAUUUCUUCCUAAGUCUGCCAUUGAAUUAUCUUCACGUUUCCAAACCAUUCACAAGGCAGAUUGGUUUCUUCAGAGUUGGUUUUUGACUUUGAGAGGUAAAACUCCAUGUCUUUCAGAAUAACUAAUUAUUAAUUUUGAAUUUUCAUACAAUUUAUUUUUCUUGAAUCAUCCUUUCCUUAUGUUAUCAUACAAAUAUUUUGAUGUGCUUAUUGUCAUCCUUUCCUAGAGUCAAGAUCUAAAUGCUAUAAUUUUAUCUUCUUCCUUUUCUGUUCUGUUACUAAUAAUAAAGAGCUUGUUUCUUCCUAAGUUUGCCUCUGAAUUAUCUUCACAUUUCCAUUCCAUUCAUCAGCUGGGAAACAAUUACAAGAACACAAGGCAGAUUGGUUUCUCUUCUCUUCCGGCUCAUCAGCUUCUUUCAGUUAAAACUCCAGUGUUAAUUUUGACUUUGAGAGGUAAAUAACACCUUGUCUUUUAUAAUAACUAAUUAUUAAUUUUGAAUUUUCAUACAAUUUAUUUUUCUUGCAUCAUCCUUUCCUUAUGUUAUUGUGAUGUAUUUAAUGGUGUGUACUAGACCUGAUUUAGCUUUUACUGUUAGUACACUUAGCAGGUAUAUGUCAAACCCUGGUCCCACGCAUUGGGAAGCUUUGAAAUGGUUGUUUAAAUAUUUGAAAGGAACAUGCAAUGUUGGUUUAGUAUAUAAGUUUAUAUCUCUAACUACCAAGUCCAUCUUUUAAUUCGGUAUUGAGCACCUAGCCCUAAUGGGCCGAUUCCCUCUAAAUACCUAACUUAAUUGGGUUACUACAAUUGUGGUGUGGAUCUUUAAUACAUAUUUCAAUCCCG